ACAUCGCCUCUUGACUUAUCAUAAGAGGUCCAGCCUGCCNAGUGAANUUUUUCAACGGCCGCGGUACCCUGACCGUGCGAAGGUAGCAUAAUCACUUGUUCUUUAAAUGGGGACUAGUAUCAACGGCACCACGAGGAUUUUACUGUCUCCUUUUUCUAAUCAGUGAAACUGAUCUCCCCGUGAAGAAGCGGGGCUAAUAAUAUAAGACGAGAAGACCCCAUGGAGCUUUAAACCCAAUAGCACCUCCAACUAUCUAUUCCCUCUUAGUUUUAAAGUUCUGCUCAUUGGUUUUAGGUUGGGGUGACCGCGGAGUAAAACUUAGCCUCCACAACGCAAGGAGCUUCCUCCUUAUCUUAGAGCCACACCUCAAAGAAUUAACAAUUUGACGUAAAGUGAUCCAAUAAUUUGAUUAAUGAACCAAGUUACCCUGGGGAUAACAGCGCAAUCCAUUUCUAGAGCCCCUAUCGUCAAAUGGGUUUACGACCUCGAUGUUGGAUCAGGGUAUCCUAGUGGUGCAGCCGCUACUAAUGGUUUGUUUGUUCAACAAUUAAAACCCUACGUGAUCUGAGUUC
RNAcentral lists this ribosomal RNA (572 nucleotides) under Fejervarya muangkanensis. RNAcentral describes it as "partial large subunit ribosomal RNA". It matches the Rfam family "Bacterial large subunit ribosomal RNA", at positions 1813 to 2612 of the family's 2925-position model. The record is from RNAcentral. Lineage: Eukaryota; Metazoa; Chordata; Amphibia; Anura; Dicroglossidae.